AACUUCUCAUUACGUGAGUCAUAAUUACAGAAUGAAGGGGACAGCUGAAGGCGGACAGUGGGCGUGGGAGUGGGGAACAGAGGUUUGCGUGGAGCUCUCCUCUUAAAUGUGAGUUCUCAGAUUGGCCCUGGUCCUCCUCCUAGAAACUGAAUU
Molecule: non-coding RNA, 153 nt
Organism: Vicugna pacos (alpaca)
Lineage: Eukaryota; Metazoa; Chordata; Mammalia; Artiodactyla; Camelidae
Source: RefSeq, a predicted model, not a curated record